RNAcentral lists this ribosomal RNA (465 nucleotides) under Vreelandella stevensii. Its description in RNAcentral is "partial 16S ribosomal RNA". It matches the Rfam family "Bacterial small subunit ribosomal RNA", at positions 338 to 795 of the family's 1533-position model. Lineage: Bacteria; Pseudomonadati; Pseudomonadota; Gammaproteobacteria; Oceanospirillales; Halomonadaceae. The record is from RNAcentral.
CCUACGGGGUGCAGCAGUGGGGAAUAUUGGACAAUGGGCGAAAGCCUGAUCCAGCCAUGCCGCGUGUGUGAAGAAGGCCUUCGGGUUGUAAAGCACUUUCAGUGGGGUAGAAAGCCUUGGGGCUAAUACCCUCGAGGAAGGACAUCACCCACAGAAGAAGCACCGGCUAACUCCGUGCCAGCAGCCGCGGUAAUACGGAGGGUGCGAGCGUUAAUCGGAAUUACUGGGCGUAAAGCGCGCGUAGGCGGUCUGAUAAGCCGGUUGUGAAAGCCCCGGGCUCAACCUGGGAACGGCAUCCGGAACUGUCAGGCUAGAGUGCAGGAGAGGAAGGUAGAAUUCCCGGUGUAGCGGUGAAAUGCGUAGAGAUCGGGAGGAAUACCAGUGGCGAAGGCGGCCUUCUGGACUGACACUGACGCUGAGGUGCGAAAGCGUGGGUAGCAAACAGGAUUAGAUACCCCGGUAGUC